This 448-nucleotide ribosomal RNA is filed under the name uncultured bacterium. Its description in RNAcentral is "SSU rRNA". It matches the Rfam family "Bacterial small subunit ribosomal RNA", at positions 26 to 518 of the family's 1533-position model. The record is from RNAcentral.
AGAGCGAACGCUGGCGGCAGGCUUAACACAUGCAAGUCGAGCGGGCGUAGCAAUACGUCAGCGGCAGACGGGUGAGUAACGCGUGGGAACGUACCUUUUGGUUCGGAACAACCCAGGGAAACUUGGGCUAAUACCGGAUAAGCCCUUACGGGGAAAGAUUUAUCGCCGAAAGAUCGGCCCGCGUCUGAUUAGUUAGUUGGUGAGGUAAUGGCUCACCAAGGCGACGAUCAGUAGCUGGUCUGAGAGGAUGAUCAGCCACAUUGGGACUGAGACACGGCCCAAACUCCUACGGGAGGCAGCAGUGGGGAAUAUUGGACAAUGGGCGCAAGCCUGAUCCAGCCAUGCCGCGUGAGUGAUGAAGGCCCUAGGGUUGUAAAGCUCUUUUGUGCGGGAAGAUAAUGACGGUACCGCAAGAAUAAGCCCCGGCUAACUUCGCGCCAGCAGCCGC